CCCUAGCGCCACGAGUGGUGUCCACGAUUAUUGGGCCUAAAGCGUCCGUAGCCGGCUUUGUAAAUCUCUUGUGAAAUGGUCAUGCUUCACGUGACCAAGGGCAGGAGACACUGCUUAGCUUGGGAUUGGGAGGGGUAUGGGGUAUGGAUAGGGAAGCAGUAAAAUGCUAUAAUCCUGUCUAGACCACCAGUGGCGAAGGCGCCAUACCAGAACAAAUCCGACGGUGAGAGACGAAAGCUAGGGGAGCGAACAG
RNAcentral lists this ribosomal RNA (253 nucleotides) under uncultured archaeon. Its description in RNAcentral is "partial 16S ribosomal RNA". It matches the Rfam family "Archaeal small subunit ribosomal RNA", at positions 474 to 726 of the family's 1478-position model. The record is from RNAcentral.